RNAcentral lists this long non-coding RNA (2133 nucleotides) under Canis lupus familiaris (dog). RNAcentral's name for it is "lncRNA (ENSCAFG00000057648.1)". Lineage: Eukaryota; Metazoa; Chordata; Mammalia; Carnivora; Canidae. The record is from RNAcentral.
AGAGUCUUGGGGAUCCAAGUGGCGGCCGGUGAAACCACGGAUGAACGGGAAGCCUGCCCACAGUAAAGGAAUCCGUUCGAAAGCUACCCACUCUCUCUCAAGUGCAUCCAUGGCUCCUGAGUCCUGUGUCUGUCUCUCAUGCUCGUUCAUCACGCUGUGGUAAUGGCUGCUUCUGUCGGCCAGACCUGUGCUCCGCCCUGGGCUCACUGAGGAGAGGACCUGGAGGAGGCAUUGCGGGAUGGCUGCUGGAAAAAAUGAACCAACCAACGAUGGUGAAGUUAACCUUGAAUGACAGUCGCUUUUCCAAGUCCGAAUUAUUUCAUUUCUUCUGCUGUUUGGAGUUCUCAUCUCUCAAACUUGGAUGGGCAGGUCUUCCUUAGCCGCGCCGGUGGGCGUCUUGUUCACCUUUGCACAUUCCCACUUACGACCUCCAUCAGGGACUAGGGUAAUGCCUUGCUCUCAGCACAUGCUCUACAGACGUGAACGUUUUCCUUUAGUAGGAAACAAGAAAUGAAAAAUGAAGAGAAGGGCAGCCCCAGUGGCUCAGCGGUUUAGCGCCGCCUUCAGCCCAGGGCGUGAUCCUGGAGACCCAGGAUCGAGACCCAGGAUCGACUCCCGCAUGGGGCUCCCCGCAUGGGGCUCCCUGCAUGGAGCCUGCUUCUGCCUCUGCCUGUGACCCUGUCUCUCAUGAAUAAAUAAAUAAAAUCUUAAAAAAAAGAAGAGAGAGAAGAAAUCACAGUAGAGCCAGAGUAGGAAAACAAAGAGAGACCAAAGACUUUUAAGAAGAAUCUUAGGAACAAAGGUGGUUUCCGUUUCAUUUCUACAGCCCUCCCUGAAUGGCCCUAACUUAUUCUGCCUCAGUCUCUCAAUCUGCUAACGGUUCCAUGUACAAUACCUAUUUAGAGCCUUAAGAAGUGGUUUUUAUUCUCUUUUCUCACAUCACGACCAUGAAUCUUACCUCUGCAACUGUACUCUGAGUUCUUUGAGCGUAGGGACUGGGUCUUACUCUGCUGUUGGACAUACCUGCAACUGGACAUACCUUGAGACUUGCUGGUUCAGUUAGGUGUCAUUGCCAACAGAAUGGUUUCCCUGACUGCCCCUCUCUCUAACAUAUUGUAGAUUCCUCUCUUCAAAUUGCUGCUAGAUGUAAGUUAGUUUCUUAAGGGCAGAGGUUUUAUCUGAUUUGUCUUUGUAGCCAUAAUGGCCAGCCAUAAUGGCCAGCAUAGGGUCUGGUACAAAGCAGACUGGGAACAUGCUUGUUGAGUGAAUGAAUGAAUGAAUGAAUGUUCAGUACCCAGCGUAUGGUUGAGUCUUUUGCAGCUACCAAUUCUCAGUGGCUAAAAUGGCAGCCAUGACUCGGAAGAAAAGGGACUAUCUUUGAAACCCAAUAUUGUAAUUUGAAUCCUACCCCUGCUACUUCCUAGUUGCACUGCCCUGGGCUUUACCUCUAUGAGCCCCUAGUUCCUCAUAGAUAAAAUGUGAAUGAUAUUUCCUGUCUCACUGGGUUGGUAAAUUAUAUAAACUACAUGUGAAGUGUUGGGCUGAGGUUUUGAAAAAAAAAUUAGUUCCUUAUUACCAUAUGAAGCAUAGAGAACUUGUACUUCACAAGUGUCUUUUGCCUAGAAGCAGCUGUGUACAUGACUGAAUCAGGAACCUGUGUUGGUUUGUAGAUGGAGGAGGCACACCCGAGUCCCAGUCAGGGUGCUACUAGGUCAGCUUGAUCUUUUAAGACUAAGUCAAAUGUGGGCAGUAGGUUUGGGCUGAAAUGAAGCUAAGAUGAUCACUAUAGACAUCGGGCUGCUGGUUAGGGAGUAGGAGCAUGGGAGAGGGAAGGAGAAAACAAUUCUUUUGGGUUAGUUGUCAGCUCAGAAACCCAGGAUACCCAGCUUGGGACUGCCCUCCUUAAAAACAUUCUGGCCACAGAAACCAGUCUGGGUAACCAUGACAACAAUUCAGCAGCUCCAUUUAGGAUCUCCAAAGGGAUCUACAGUUGCAGAUGAGUGCUGGCUUGAACGCUUUGCUGGCAGAAGAGAGCUACUCCGUGAAGCAUUCUCACUGGGAGCCUUUCAGGUUGCGGAGAAGGCAAGCUCUGUCCAAACAUUAAGGUACUACCAGAUAAAAACAACAACAAAA